RNAcentral lists this unclassified non-coding RNA (1343 nucleotides) under Hevea brasiliensis (rubber tree). The record is from RNAcentral. Lineage: Eukaryota; Viridiplantae; Streptophyta; Magnoliopsida; Malpighiales; Euphorbiaceae.
ACGUGGAAAACUUCGACAUUGCUUCUUUCCCUUCCCCAUCUGAGGAAAAGGAAAGCAGAAAAAGAAACUGACUUAGAGAAAGGAUAAAGAACACUACUUGAGCUACUCAUUGAAAAGAAGCCACUAAGGAUCUCAAAUAUCAUAAUGGAAGAGGAUAUCCUCGGAGGUAUGCUGAAUCCACACCUGAUUCCCGCACCAAAGCUACCCUUCCAGUCCGAGCCACCUUCAAGCAUAGGGAGAGAAGAAAGAGGAAAUUUGAAAAAAAUAAAAAAUCAUUUCACUUGAUAUGAGGGAUGAGAAUAUUUAUCCAUCAGCUAAGCACAAUAAUAAACUCCUUUGAAUCUGACUCAAUCCUUAUAUCCCAUAGGACAGAUUACUAAAUAAUUUUAAGGACUGGCACGUAACAGCAACAUAGAGAACACAGUUAGAAAACUUCAUUUUAAACAAAUAUGAAUAACCCAGUCCACUUGGGAUCACCAAAUGGAACACAAAUUCUCCCAACUAUUUGCAGAAAUCAACAAAUGAACUGAGUCCAGCAAGGUUCAGGAAAACAAAGGUUAAAAAUUCCUUUGCAAUAAAAUGAAACUUGGUAAAAUAAGAAUGAGAGGACAGACCUCACAAAUCCCAAAUGGCUCCAACAGUCUCUGCAGGGCAGCCAUCUUGUUUAAAUCACCUGUUAGCUGGGUAGAAACAAAUAGCUAGAGGAUUACAAAAAUUGGAAAACAAAUAAAAGAUUUUGAUGAAGACAACCAAUAGAACAGGAAUCCACUGGCAUAGCAAUAAAUGUAGAGCUCCUAUAUAGCAGGUAAUAACAAGUAUCCGCAUGGUCCCACUGCCUAAUUAUUUUCACUGCUUUGAUUAUUAUAUUCUGAUAUUAAUCAACUCAUAAAUGGUUAGAUUUCAGCUCCUAGAUUAAUGAUUUUGAUAACAAGGUACAUGCAAUCAUAGGAAUAUUGGACAUAAAAUUGAGCAGCUGAUUGACUUUAGAAGAUUUUUCAACGUUUGAAGUAAUAGUGACCAACUCCUCAGUUCACAUUCCCACAGAAGUCUUUUACUGCAAAAUACUUUACUCUACCAACUAUUUAAUGGAAACUUACAUCAAUGCCAUUCAAGAUUUGAUUGACAAUGGUGAAAAUCCAAUAAGAAUCAUUGAUGGUAAUAUCAUACUACGGUAGCUCGAUUGAACAGUGUUUAUUUUCAUAUGGCUUGAAUUUUGAAUAUAUUUUCAUAGACCCGAAUUGUGACCUGACUUGAAAGUUUCGCGUUGCACCCCAAUCACAGACCUCGUUGGGGCUACGGGGGGCAACUGUUAGAAUUGUUGAGAUUUUAGUAGGUGAAUAUCU